RNAcentral lists this ribosomal RNA (285 nucleotides) under uncultured bacterium. RNAcentral's name for it is "partial 16S ribosomal RNA". It matches the Rfam family "Bacterial small subunit ribosomal RNA", at positions 194 to 477 of the family's 1533-position model. RNAcentral also lists the same sequence under 1 other name. The record is from RNAcentral.
AAGUAGGGGAUCGCAAGACCUUGCGCUUUUGGAGCGGCCGAUGUCUGAUUAGCUAGUUGGUGAGGUAAAGGCUUACCAAGGCUUCGAUCAGUAGCUGGUCUGAGAGGACGACCAGCCACACUGGGACUGAGACACGGCCCAGACUCCUACGGGAGGCAGCAGUGGGGAAUUUUGGACAAUGGGGGCAACCCUGAUCCAGCCAUGCCGCGUGAGUGAAGAAGGCCUUCGGGUUGUAAAGCUCUUUCAGCCGGAACGAAAAGGUUACGGUUAAUACCCGUGACUAAU